Molecule: transfer RNA, 92 nt
Organism: Termitomyces sp. J132
Lineage: Eukaryota; Fungi; Basidiomycota; Agaricomycetes; Agaricales; Lyophyllaceae
Rfam family: tRNA
About the family: Transfer RNA (tRNA) molecules are approximately 80 nucleotides in length. Their secondary structure includes four short double-helical elements and three loops (D, anti-codon, and T loops).
Source: Rfam
CCGACCUUAGCUCAGUUGGUAGAGCGUGAGACUGUAAUAGGUUUACUAGCACUUGUAUCUCAAUGUCGCCUGUUCGAUCCAGGCAGGUCGGA